RNAcentral lists this ribosomal RNA (466 nucleotides) under uncultured bacterium. RNAcentral's name for it is "partial 16S ribosomal RNA". It matches the Rfam family "Bacterial small subunit ribosomal RNA", at positions 36 to 507 of the family's 1533-position model. The record is from RNAcentral.
GCCUCCCUCUUUCUUCGCGCCUAACACAUGCAAGUCGAACGAGCGAGAGAGAGCUUGCUUUCUUGAGCGAGUGGCGAACGGGUGAGUAACGCGUGAGGAACCUGCCUCAAAGAGGGGGACAACAGUUGGAAACGACUGCUAAUACCGCAUAAGCCCACGACCCGGCAUCGGGUUGAGGGAAAAGGAGCAAUCCGCUUUGAGAUGGCCUCGCGUCCGAUUAGCUAGUUGGUGAGGUAACGGCCCACCAAGGCGACGAUCGGUAGCCGGACUGAGAGGUUGAACGGCCACAUUGGGACUGAGACACGGCCCAGACUCCUACGGGAGGCAGCAGUGGGGAAUAUUGCACAAUGGGGGAAACCCUGAUGCAGCGACGCCGCGUGGAGGAAGAAGGUCUUCGGAUUGUAAACUCCUGUUGUUGAGGAAGAUAAUGACGGUACUCAACAAGGAAGUGACGGCUAACUACGUG